CUACUGGGGUUUCUAAUCCUGUUUGCUCCCCACGCUUUCGCACCUCAGCGUCAGAACCGGGCCAGUGAGCCGCCUUCGCCACUGGUGUUCUUCCGAAUAUCUACGAAUUUCACCUCUACACUCGGAAUUCCACUCACCUCUCCCGGUCUCGAGACAUCCAGUAUCAAAGGCAAUUCUUGGGUUGAGCCCAAGGCUUUCACCUCCAACUUAAAUGUCCGCCUACGUGCGCUUUACGCCCAGUAAUUCCGAACAACGCUAGCCCCCUUCGUAUUACCGCGGCUGCUGGCAC
This 289-nucleotide ribosomal RNA is filed under the name uncultured Alphaproteobacteria bacterium. RNAcentral's name for it is "partial 16S ribosomal RNA". The record is from RNAcentral. Lineage: Bacteria; Pseudomonadati; Pseudomonadota; Alphaproteobacteria.